GGAGAGGUGUCCGAGUGGUUGAAGGUGCCGCUCUCGAAAAGCGGUGUGCGCAAGCACCGUGGGUUCGAAUCCCACCCUCUCCGCCA
RNAcentral lists this transfer RNA (86 nucleotides) under Chloroflexota bacterium. RNAcentral's name for it is "Chloroflexi bacterium tRNA-Ser". It matches the Rfam family "tRNA". Rfam says of the family: Transfer RNA (tRNA) molecules are approximately 80 nucleotides in length. Their secondary structure includes four short double-helical elements and three loops (D, anti-codon, and T loops). The record is from RNAcentral. RNAcentral also lists the same sequence under 5 other names. Lineage: Bacteria; Bacillati; Chloroflexota.